UUUUUAUAUUAGUAAAGCAAUUAG
This 24-nucleotide small nuclear RNA is filed under the name Arabidopsis thaliana (thale cress). Its description in RNAcentral is "snRNA_15195". The record is from RNAcentral. Lineage: Eukaryota; Viridiplantae; Streptophyta; Magnoliopsida; Brassicales; Brassicaceae.